This is an RNA transcript of Onychostoma macrolepis, 2957 nucleotides long. It is a transcript of the gene named chemokine-like protein TAFA-1, with no coding region annotated. The record is from RefSeq and is a predicted model, not a curated record. NCBI's taxonomy places the organism in Eukaryota, Metazoa, Chordata, Actinopteri, Cypriniformes, Cyprinidae. The transcript is spliced from 6 exons.
ACGUCGCGUUUGCUUUUGUUCGUUUGUUUUUUGUUUGUUUGUCGAUGAACAAUGAAUCACUCUACUGAGUCGAAUCCGCUUGAAUCGCUUUAUUCUAGUCAGUUAACGUUAGCAAAUGCUGGGAUUGUUUGGAGCAGUUUUCUUCUCAGUCAAACUGUGACGCGAUAUUUCAAAACAAAGAGCGAAGAUAUCGUUGAAUUAAAUGGAAAUUAAUCUGCAAUCGAUGGAGGCAGACAUUGUCCUGUCGACAUAGAAGGCCUUCGUUACUUUGAACACCUGCACGUGGAGCUUGUGAAGUUGUGAACGACUCGAUGGAUACAGUGAACUCAUCAGCCGGUGCUCCUGCCAUGUCCUGGCUCCUGUGUCUGUGGAUAAGUGUUAGCUGCUUACUGCUGUGCCACGCCACUUUGUAUGAGACCAUCCAACAGCAUCAUGUGACCCGCCCGGGCCGCAACGCCAUACAGAUACUGGAGGGAGGAACAUGUGAGGUCAUUGCAGCACACCGAUGUUGCAACAAGAACCGUAUUGAGGAGCGUUCCCAGACCGUCAAGUGCUCAUGUUUACCGGGAAAAGUGGCCGGAACAACACGGAACAAACCCUCCUGUGUAGACGCCUCCAUCGUGAUUGGGAAGUGGUGGUGUGAGAUGGAGCCAUGUCUGGAGGGAGAGGAGUGUAAGACAUUACCAGACAACUCCGGCUGGAUGUGUUCCUCUGGGAACAAGAUCAAGACCACGAGGAACACCCAGCCAUAUUCAACUUUUUAGCUCUGAGGGCCACCGAAGCUGGCUCGCCAGAAGCUCUGCGGCGUCCUUCUCCUCAUCAAGAGAGGGACCCCUCCUUGCCUGUAGCUCCAGACAAGGCAGGCCUCUUUUGAGGAAGGCACACAGUGAAAGAGACUGAGAGACACCCUCACCCUCGCCCUGCAUAUACCUACUUUUACCUGUUCCUAAUGGCUAUAUCAUUCCGUUCCUUAAAAUACAACCGAAAUUGAUGCGUAAACAACGAAGACAAGGUUUACAUCCUCCCCCAGUUUAUGUAACUUCAUCUGCCUCAUUUGAGAGGAGAGAUGGACUCAACCUGUCACUAUUGUAUGGCUGUGAGCCAUUUUCUCCAGGCUGGAUAAAUCACCUCAGGACUGGCCCUUAAAUCCAACGUCAGAGGCCAGAACAAUUUCAGCGGAUGAGCAUUCUAAUCUCAUUGGUACUCAUAUGUAUCCAUACAUACAUUUGGAUAGAUGGUGAAGUGUACAGUAUGGACAUAUUGACAGCAUCUAAAAUGUAAAUGUAGGCUUUACUUGUGCAGAGAUUCAGAAACAUAAAUAUAUGAUUCCUUUAUAUUAUAUUUAUAUUAUGCACAUCUGUAUAGUUAAACUUUACAACUUUAGACAUUUUGAGCCCAUAACUCCAAAAAUAAAAACUGGGAAAAAAAGGAAUAUGCAGAUAAAUGUACAUGACAAUAAUUUUAAUGAUAAUUUACCAUUAUAUUUACCAUUUUUUUUACUUUGCCUUUGCCUACAGAACAGAUCAGAACUGACAGGAAGUGAAGUGAGAGAGAGAAAGAGAGAGAUAGUCCACAAAGCUAUCGGUGCUGAUUUAUAUAGAUAUUUUAAAGUCUUUUUUCAUGAAGAAGUUGGUUAGAAGACAUUCAAGACCAAACAUCGUAUUGCUUAAAAGUUUCAAUUAUACAAAGUCACAGUGAAUGGGUCAAAUUGUCGUCUUUUUCUCACACAAAUCUAUCAUGUUUUAUGGUGACUUGAAAUGUAAUGUAUGAAUAGAAUGGAUUACAUGUAUUAUUAUUAUUGUUAUUUAGUGUAUUUUGCAUUCUUUGGUGAAAUACUUUAAAACGAGCUGAAUAUGGCAGCAGAAAUCGCAAAGCAGCUUGUUGAGAUGGAUGCUUUAAAAACAGUAAAUGUGAUGGCAUUGAACAUAUUUUAUAAAUAUCUUCAGUUAUAUACAAUAAAGUCAGCCUAUUAGUUCCAUUAAUUCAGUAUUAUAUUAAGUUCAGAAACAUUUCAUACGUCUCUAAGGUUGUUCAUACAGUAUGUUAAAUCUAAACAUUUUAGAUGCUGUCAAUAUGUUAAUAUUGUACAUGACAGUGUCUAAGAACUACACUUUAAUGAGAUCACAUUGUGAUAACGAGUGAAAGUUGUCAAAUCCAACCAAUUUGUCCACUAAACCUUUUCCACAAAACAUGUUCCAUAAAUACUUUUACAUGGAAACAGUAUGCUUAGUUCUGAGAAAUUGUAAUGGCUUGCUGUUUCCUCAUUUGUCUUUGAAACACAUGUUCUUAACAAGAGGCCUUUUACAAGAAUCCCAGCUGUGUGGAUUUUCAGAGCAAAAGUAAUCUGCCAAGUGAUGGUUUAAGAUUAAAUCACAUGAUGAUUAAGUCAGUUUGUCUCAAGAGACCUGUUGAACCCAGAGCUUUGACUGCGUCUGUAUCUCUUUCAGCUGUCAAUGUCACAUUAAAUUAAUUCUAACACAUUCAUGCUGUCUGGAGUCUUGCUGUAUGCUAUCCUCAUUUAAAAGUCACAUACAACAGCUGCAUAACCUAAACCAGAUUACAUUUUUAGCACAUGGAGCACGCACAACAAAAUUGAGAUAUCAUUUGAGAAUUAAAAUGCAAAUGGUGUACAACGAAUGUAUUUGCGAUGUGCUUUUAACCCUGGAUUCAGCCAAUCAAUGGAAGCUGUAGCAGACAGUAAAGGACACCUGAGCAGAGAUGGAGGAAUUAUGGCAGCAUUUGCAUAGAGUCCAAUAUAACAAACCACACUGGGAGAGACAGAGUUAUACAUACUAGCAGACAGCCGAAGACAAAUUGCAUCAGGGUCACUAUGCUUCUUGCGUUGUAUGUGGGGGUUGGAAGUUGCACAGCAUGCAAAAGCUCUUAUUUGAAGAGGAAAGACAAGGAACAUUCGGCUUAGGACAAAGAGCUGUCAGCUAAUGUUUACAUGUAUAUAA